GGUAAAUAUAACUCAAUAGGUAGAGUGACUAUUUGUGGCAUAGUUUGUUCUUGGUUCGAGUCCAGGUUUUUACC
Molecule: transfer RNA, 74 nt
Filed under: Hirsutella minnesotensis
Lineage: Eukaryota; Fungi; Ascomycota; Sordariomycetes; Hypocreales; Ophiocordycipitaceae
Description: tRNA-His
Rfam family: tRNA
About the family: Transfer RNA (tRNA) molecules are approximately 80 nucleotides in length.
Source: RNAcentral